UUCUUCAGUUAUAAACAAUGAAGGGAUCAUUCUCUCUCCAAACUAUCCAAUGAACUACGACAACAACCACGAGUGCAUCUACAGCAUCCAGGUGCAAGCUGGGAAAGGCAUCAACAUUUCUGCUAGAACCUUUCAUCUGGCCCAGGCAGAUAUACUAAAGAUUUAUGAUGGUAAAGACAGCACAGCCCA
Molecule: long non-coding RNA, 189 nt
Organism: Notothenia coriiceps (black rockcod)
Lineage: Eukaryota; Metazoa; Chordata; Actinopteri; Perciformes; Nototheniidae
Exons: 3
Source: RefSeq, a predicted model, not a curated record